CAGGGCGGAGGGAUUCGUGCUGGGUGUGGUACUCCCGGCCUGGCUCUCCGGCUGAGGUGGAAGAAGUUAACUACAUGAUGACCAGACUGUAGCCAUGACAGAAGCUGCCACAAUCCUGAGAAUUGGCCUCAAGGAAGUGGGAACAAACCAACCAUGGAACUGAAGAUUAACUGUACUUAAAACUAUCAAGAUGAUGCUGGUCAGACCACCAAUGACCAAUUUCAAGAUGAUUGUCAGAGCUGACUGUGCUGCUUCUACACGUAGCCCCCUCCCUCUGCCUAUAAAAACUCUUGCCCCCUGAUUGUCAGGUGGGGGGAGUUGGCCUUUGGAUAGGUGUCCGCCUCCCCCCAACCCCAUUCUCAGCAUCCAAAAUAAAGCAAACUUUCCUUUUCA
Long non-coding RNA from Balaenoptera acutorostrata (minke whale), 393 nucleotides. RefSeq lists it as uncharacterized. The record is from RefSeq and is a predicted model, not a curated record. Lineage: Eukaryota; Metazoa; Chordata; Mammalia; Artiodactyla; Balaenopteridae. The transcript has 2 exons.